GGGAAACAAUGAUUCCUAAUUCGUAUUAGAGUUAAGUUUUCGGUUUCGAAAAAAAAAAAAGUUUUCGGUUUUCCUUCUAAAAAAAUGUUUGAAACCCUCUCAAUGUUUUCUUUGCUCAGCUCCUCACCCGUAGAAACAAUGGAUGAUAUAAGGCAACAAAAAUCCAUAUGGUGCAAAUUCAAUGAUGAUGCCGGGUUGGUUUGGGUCACAAUGAGGAGUUCCCCAUUUGAAAGAGGGUGAUGCUCGGCCGCAAGGAGGGAGACCAAGAUGGGCGGCGCCACCAAAUUCUAAGAUGGGUCAUUGGUUGAUUCUUUUGAAGAAGAUUGCUCAGUCUCAUAAUUUGCUUCCUGAGUUUGAUGUAUGUAGAAGAAGUGUGUUGAAAAAGAUUUUGGGGUGUUUUCUAAAUAGUUGUUAGAGUUGAUUGGGUUAGUGUGCUUUUUUAUUCUA
Long non-coding RNA from Ipomoea triloba (trilobed morning glory), 447 nucleotides. RefSeq lists it as uncharacterized. The record is from RefSeq and is a predicted model, not a curated record. Lineage: Eukaryota; Viridiplantae; Streptophyta; Magnoliopsida; Solanales; Convolvulaceae. The transcript is spliced from 3 exons.